GCUUAGUGGGUUGAGUGUCUGACUCUUGAUUUUGGCUCAGGUCAUGAUCUCGUGGGUUCAAGCCCCACACUGGGCU
RNAcentral lists this transfer RNA (76 nucleotides) under Felis catus (domestic cat). It matches the Rfam family "tRNA". From Rfam's summary of the family: Transfer RNA (tRNA) molecules are approximately 80 nucleotides in length. Their secondary structure includes four short double-helical elements and three loops (D, anti-codon, and T loops). Lineage: Eukaryota; Metazoa; Chordata; Mammalia; Carnivora; Felidae. The record is from Rfam by way of RNAcentral.